Molecule: RNA transcript, 3438 nt
Organism: Aedes albopictus (Asian tiger mosquito)
Lineage: Eukaryota; Metazoa; Arthropoda; Insecta; Diptera; Culicidae
Exons: 3
Source: RefSeq, a predicted model, not a curated record
UAUUGAUACGAGCAAAGUGAGUAGUAUGACUGUAGAAAUCAAAAAUGAAAAAUCUUAACUCAUUGCAUUGCACCUAUAGCUGAAGGUGGCGCCAUCCAAAUUCCGUUGGACAAUGUUUCAUGGGCUUCCAUGGAUUCUAACAAGAAAACAAGCCUUUAAUCCCCUGAAGAAGGUUUAAAAUAAACCGAAACCGUCGGAAGUUGAGGCAAACUUGUUUUCGCUGCUGUCACCGACUGCAAAAGCCGAGAGAAUCCCCGUAUCCGUCCAAGCCUACAGUCGAUAAGCAAUCAGAUUAAACCCCCGAUGGCUAACAACUCCAGCGCCCCCUUCUUUGACAACAUAGAGAGAUGUUAUGGGAUGAGAGCAAAACGUAUGCUCAAAGACUACGCCAACAUAAACAGGAAACUUGGCAACAUGACUAGUCGAAAAUCCUUCCUAGUCAGAUGUCGCCGUAGAGGAGUAUUUCCGGCACAUUUUUCGAAUAGUUUUCGCUUCACAUUCCCGUUAAUGGAAGAAAACAGUCCGUUCACGAACAAAAUACAAAACAGCGUAACCCGGUUCAAGAAAUCAAUCCUGAACAUCGAAAUCAAGCAUACCUACUACAAAAUCAAAGGCCUACAAUCAAAUCUAGCGGGCCUAUCAGAAGACAUCCAAAGGUCCAACAUCCCAGCGCACAUAUCAGUCACCUUCUUCGAAAGCCAAAGAGAGUACAGCGAGGGAAACGUGAGGACAAGCACGGCCCGAACAAAACGCAAGUUCGCUAGGAUCACCGCCCAAAACCAGCGUGAAACCAAAAGCGAAGACCUACCAAUCAACAACGCAAAAGCCAUUCAUAACGGUACCCAAGUCCCGGUCCCGCCAGAGACCGAAACCCUACUCAGUCUCGGCCCAAAGUUUGCCCUACCGAUCACUGAAACACGACGAGUUCCUUACCACCAUCUGAUGGCUGACGUGGAACUGGUAAUAAAGUCCAAUCCGAAUGAAGCAACCCAAGAUCGGACAAGAUGCGCAGUCGCCAAUGCAAUUACCAACCACAUACACCGUUUCAACAACCAAAACACGCAUUUCGAUCCGUUGGUGAGGUUCUGCAGCACCGCUGAAGACAUCACGAGGAAAUUCCUGAAAGAGAACCCCAACGUGCUCGUAUUAAAAUCGGAUAAAGGAAACAAAACCGUACUGAUGGAUGCUGAAGAAUACAAGCAGAAGAUGAAGGAACUGCUACAAGACAACCAAACGUAUAAACCGAUAGACAAAGACCCAACCCUCCGGUUUGAACGGCAAAACAACUCGUUAGUGAAACGUCUGCGAAAUCUGGACCUCAUCGAUGAUCGAACGGCCAAGGAGCUAACCAAAUACAACGCCGUUUGCCCCAGGAUAUAUGGCCAACCCAAAGCCCACAAGCCAGGAUUGCCACUCCGCCCGGUGGUGCCGAAUGUGACUGCCCCAUCGUACAACUUGUCAAAAUACGUAGGGAAAAUUCUGCAGCAAUCACUGGUAAGCUCCUACAACGUCCAAGAUUCAUUCACAUUUUGUGAAUUUAUCAAUGGUGUCACUCUCCCCGACAAUCACGUCCUCAUCUCACUCGACGUUAAAGCUCUAUUCACCUCAAUACCAAAACCCCUGGUGAUUAACAGCAUAAUCAUGAGAUGGGACGAAAUCAGGCCUAACACAAAUAUAUGCCUAGACCUAUUCCUUGAAAUAGUCGGUUUCUGCAUCGACUCUAGCUAUUUCAAAUUUGACGGCCAGCACUAUGCGCAGAUAUUUGGAACUGCCAUGGGAAACCCACUCUCUUCCCACAUUGCUGAUUGGGUAAUGGAAGCCUUGCUAGACAAUGUAUUACGGUCGCUAAACAUUCCCCUACCGUUCCUCAAGAAGUUCGUCGACGACUUAGUUACGGCUAUCCCGCUGGAUCAACUCCAGCACGUACUGGACGUGUUCAACAGCUACGACAUCCACAUUCAGUUCACACACGAACUGGAAGUAGACAACCAGCUACCCUAUCUGGAUAUGCUGCUAAUCCGGCAGAAUAACCAGACGGUAAAAACUCAAUGGUACCAGAAACCAAUUGCCAGCGGUAGAUUCCUAAACUACCUGUCAUUCCACCCACUAAAACAGAAGCUCAACAUGGCCAAAAAUUUCGCGAAACGAGUCCACCUUCUGUCCACAGAUCUCGACAUGCAAGCAAAGCAGGUCAUCGUAGAGGAUAAUCUAAAGCUGAAUGGAUAUCCCACAUCCCUACGAAAGAGGAUCGCCAAUCGCAUGAAUGAACGUGAAAACAGCAGCACAGUCGGGACUCAACCAAUCCAGCAUGCCAUAGGGAGUCAACCGACUGAAGAACACCUAGAGCAUACCUACCGAUCAAUACCAUACAUAAAACACCUGUCCGAAAGGGUGGACAGGGCGAUAGGACGAGAAUAUCCCAACAUAAAACUCGCCAAAUACAACAUCAACACGGUCGGCAACUUGUUCUCAAGAAUCAAAGAUCCUAUUGCACUCGAUGAUCAAAACAAUGUUGUGUACCACAUACCAUGUUCCAACUGCCCAGCAUGCUACAUUGGAAUGACUAAAAACCGUCUGAAAACCAGAAUAAGCGGCCAUCGAACACUGUACAACACUAUGGACAGGCUUCUCGAGCAAGGCGCAGACAACACGGAUCCACGAAUGGCAUCGCUUAGUGAGAGAACGGCGUUAAUGCAGCACAGCAUACAAGAAAAUCACAGGUUCGAUCUGAAACAGGUCAAAAUUUUAGAAAAGGUAAACAAAACACAAAAUCUGCAAUUCCUAGAGAUGUGUCACAUCGCUCGAAACAGACACAGCAUUAACAGACGAACCGAUACUGAUGGGCUACAUGCAAUCUACGCAGGUAUAUUACACGAAAUAGAAAAAGCUAGCAAAACACGAAUUGCAAAUGAAAUAGGAAAUGUAGAAAAUGAUAACAACACACAAACACCACCACACACCUCAAUGUAAAUAUCCAAAGAUUGUUAAACACGACACCAUAUUAUAUCACCACACCAACACCAUCAUGCAAAGUUGCGUAGGUAUCCGCCAUAGCAAGUAUCGAUAAAAGUGUAGGCGAGCAAAAUCUAAAAAGUUCAGCUAAAAGCGAAGCAAAAAUAAGCUCAAAAGCUAAGGGAACAGUUUAUACCACUACAGCGUCUAGCAAACGUAUUGAUACGAGCAAAGUGAGUAGUAUGACUGUAGAAAUCAAAAAUGAAAAAUCUUAACUCAUUGCAUUGCACCUAUAGCUGAAGGUGGCGCCAUCCAAAUUCCGUUGGACAAUGUUUCAUGGGCUUCCAUGGAUUCUAACAAGAAAACAAGCCUUUAAUCCCCUGAAGAAGGUUUAAAAUAAACCGAAACCGUCGGAAGUUGAGGCAAACUUGUUUUCGCUGCUGUCACCGACUGCAAAAGCCGAGAGAAUCCCCGUAUCCGGAAGAG